Molecule: transfer RNA, 85 nt
Filed under: Candidatus Buchananbacteria bacterium RIFCSPHIGHO2_02_FULL_38_8
Lineage: Bacteria; Candidatus Buchananiibacteriota
Description: tRNA-Leu
Rfam family: tRNA
About the family: Transfer RNA (tRNA) molecules are approximately 80 nucleotides in length.
Source: RNAcentral
GCGGACGUGGUGGAACCUGGUAGACACGCUAGCUUGAGGGGCUAGUGGCCUCACGGUCGUGGGAGUUCGAGUCUCCCCGUCCGCA